Molecule: ribosomal RNA, 492 nt
Filed under: uncultured bacterium
Lineage: Bacteria
Description: partial 16S ribosomal RNA
Rfam family: Bacterial small subunit ribosomal RNA
Source: RNAcentral
AGUGAACGCUGGCGGCAGGCCUAAUACAUGCAAGUCGAACGGCCGCACAGUGAGAUUUCUCCCCUACCGGUGGCGACUGACGGAUGAGUGACAAAUACAUAGCCAUCUACUAUUUCGUGGGGGACAACGUAAGGCAACAUACGCUACUACAGCAUACGACCUACGGGUGAAAGCAGUAGAUCUACGCACCUUGCGUGACACAUAGAGACGAAGUCGCAUUAGCUAGUUGACUAGGUAAAGGCCCACCAAGGCGACGAUACGUAGCUGGUCUGAGAGGAUGAUCGGCCACACUGGAACUGAGACACGGUCCAGACUCCUACGGGAGGCAGCAGUGGGGAAUAUUGCACAAUGGGCGAAAGCCUGACGGAGCCAUGCCGCGUGAGUGAUGAAGGUCUUCGGAUCGUAAAGCCCUGUUAUUAGGGAAGAAAAGCUGCGUAUGUAUCCAUCGCCGUUCUGACGGUACCCAAUGAGAAAGCACCGGCUAACUUCGUG